Molecule: long non-coding RNA, 318 nt
Filed under: Neogale vison (American mink)
Lineage: Eukaryota; Metazoa; Chordata; Mammalia; Carnivora; Mustelidae
Description: Neovison vison (American mink) lncRNA (ENSNVIG00000010406.1)
Source: RNAcentral
GCAGGAAGUCGCGCUCGGCGGGAGUGGAGCCGCCCCACGGCCGGGCGGCGCGAGCCGGCAGCGACCAUGAUUCGUGGUGCCCAGAGCAAAGGAAAGACCACUUCUUCCCUUCUGGGGCGGCAUUGGAGCCAGAGCCCCGAGCCCCAUCUCGUCUCUGCCCUGCUUGAGUUUUCUGGAAUGGACCUGCCCACCAGGAAGCCAAGUCACCCUUGGUCCUGGUCUUGCCUGCCCCCAGGGGAACACAGGAAGCCUGCUUAUGAAUGUUUGAAAAUGCAUCUGUGCGUACCUGCGGGGGAAUUGGGACGUCGCCGGCUCUAG